GAAAUGCGAUAAGUAGUGUGAAUUGCAGAAUUUAGCGAAUCAUCGAAUCUUUGAACGCACAUUGCGCCCCUUGGUAUUCCAUGGGGCAUGCCUGUUCGAGCGUCAUUUCAACCCUCAAGCACUGCUUGGUGUUGGGCGUUUGUCCCGCCUACGCGCGUGGACUCGCCUCAAAGUCAUUGGCGGCUGUUCCCUUUCGGCUCGUAAGCGCAGCACAGUCGGCGCCUGGAGCUCUGGUGGGAUGGCGUCCAGCAAGCUAUAUUUUCAGGCUUGACCUCGGAUCAGGUAGGGAUACCCGCUGAACUUAAGC
RNAcentral lists this unclassified non-coding RNA (307 nucleotides) under plant metagenome. Its description in RNAcentral is "partial contains 5.8S ribosomal RNA, internal transcribed spacer 2, and large subunit ribosomal RNA". The stretch from base 1 to 105 matches the Rfam family "5.8S ribosomal RNA", at positions 50 to 154 of the family's 154-position model. The record is from RNAcentral.